Non-coding RNA from Salvelinus sp. IW2-2015, 958 nucleotides. The record is from RefSeq and is a predicted model, not a curated record. Lineage: Eukaryota; Metazoa; Chordata; Actinopteri; Salmoniformes; Salmonidae.
CCUCCACAUGGUGAAGAGCCUGGUUCAGAACCAUUACCUGUACCUCGGCUCGUACGUACGUAUCCCGGUGUCCAGCGUCGUGUACUGCAUCCUGGAGCCGCUGGUCGCCUCCAUCUCCCUCAACGACCACCGGAUCCUUAGGGAGUACGCAGCUCUGCGGGUCAGCCACAUGUUCUGGACCCAUGGAGCCCUGGUCAGUGGUCUGUACCACCAGAUUCUGCUGUCUCUGCAGAAGGUUCUGUCAGACCCGGUCCGCCCGCUGUGUUCUCACUAUGGAGCUGUAGGGGGCUACAUGCACUUAGAGGAAAUGUAUCCACCUUCCAUCCAUCUUGAUUAUUUAUGUAUGAAAAUAGAAUUUCUUUCAUUUAGAGAUCCUUGGCUUUGCUGAUCACUGUGUGUGUUGUCUGUCUUUGUAGGCUGUUGAGAGAGUCAUAUGUCCUUACCUGCAAUCUGUCCUGGAUGACUACUCUGUCUCCAAUGCCCAGGUGAAAGCAGACYGACACAAGGUCUAUGGAGCAAUCCUGGUGGCAGUGGAGCACCUGCUAAAGAUUAGAGCCCUGUCUCUGUCCCUGCCAGCAGAGGCAGCACCCAGCCACGCUUCGGGAGUGUGAUUUCCGCCGGGCUCAGCCUCUCUCCGAGGCCACCCUGGGCAUCGCCAGUCACCUGCAGGGACCUGGGGGAGCUGGCACCCCCUGGAAUGACUGGACCCCAWCCACCUGCCCGCCAUGUACUGUGAGCUCUACUCCUCCUUUGGAAAACAACUUGGCAGUGCGUUUCAGCACGGACCCCGACUUGGGAGGUUGCCUUCCCCUUCCCAGCCCCCUGAUACGCCAAUCCAGACACCACGUACAAGAUGCCCCAGCUCACCGCUAACCUCAAAAUCAACCCCRGGCAGGACGGGAGCCCUUGCACCGAGCCCUCUCCACCCAUCCUAGCUGCCACUGCUCCGGGAACACAA